This 121-nucleotide ribosomal RNA is filed under the name Periophthalmus magnuspinnatus. The record is from RNAcentral. Lineage: Eukaryota; Metazoa; Chordata; Actinopteri; Gobiiformes; Gobiidae.
CCUCAUGGCCAUACCUCCUUGUCAAAGCCUGAUCUCGUCAGAUCUUAGAAGCUAAGCAGGGCUGGAGCUGGUUAGUACUUGGAUGGCAGAUCGCUGGGAAUACCAAGUGCCACAGUGGGGC